Molecule: long non-coding RNA, 423 nt
Filed under: Lathyrus oleraceus (garden pea)
Lineage: Eukaryota; Viridiplantae; Streptophyta; Magnoliopsida; Fabales; Fabaceae
Description: Pisum sativum (pea) long non-coding RNA (PSAT_LNC037071)
Source: RNAcentral
GAGUUUUACUUUUUACACCAUGCCAUUUGAUGCACUAAAUUGAGAAAAACGUUGGCUGGAAGUUGGGAAAGAAAUAUUGCAUGGAGGUUUUGUUUUUUUCUUGCUGGAAGUGGAAGUUGUAUACUGCAUGUAUUGUAGUGAGCAUUUAUUUGUUGCGCUGGAAGUUGUAUACUGCAUGUAUUGUAGUGAGCAUUUAUUUGUUGCGCUGGAAGUUGUAUACUGCAUGUAUUGUAGUGAGCAUUUAUUUGCUGCAUGUUGUUUUUGUCACGUAGUGAACACCUAUUUUUUUAUUUUAUUUUUUUAUUAUUAUUAUUUUUAUUUUAUUUUAUUUAUGUAUAAAAAUAACAGAGACAUGGUUCGAACCCAUGUUUGUCCCGUUACCAGCGCCUUGUUUCAUCCGCUAAGGCAUAAACAAAAGUUGUU